This 498-nucleotide ribosomal RNA is filed under the name uncultured bacterium. RNAcentral's name for it is "bacterial SSU rRNA". It matches the Rfam family "Bacterial small subunit ribosomal RNA", at positions 899 to 1397 of the family's 1533-position model. The record is from RNAcentral.
ACUCAAAGGAAUAGACGGGGGCCCGCACAAGCGGUGGAGCAUGUGGUUUAAUUCGACGCAACGCGAAGAACCUUACCAGGGCUUGACAUCCCUUGACUGCUGUAGAGAUACAGAGUUCAGCUUGCUGACAAGGAGACAGGUGGUGCAUGGCUGUCGUCAGCUCGUGUCGUGAGAUGUUGGGUUAAGUCCCGCAACGAGCGCAACCCUUAUCCUUAGUUGCCAGCACUUCGGGUGGGCACUCUAAGGAGACUGCCACGGACAACGUGGAGGAAGGUGGGGAUGACGUCAAGUCAUCAUGCCCUUUAUGUCCUGGGCUACACACGUGCUACAAUGGUCCGUACAGAGGGAAGCGAAGCCGCGAGGUGAAGCCAAUCCCAGAAAACGGACCCAAGUUCGGAUUGGAGUCUGCAACUCGACUCCAUGAAGUCGGAAUCGCUAGUAACCGCAGAUCAGCAUGCUGCGGUGAAUACGUUCCCGGGCCUUGUACACACCGCCCGU